UACCUACGGGGGGCAGCAGUGAGGAAUAUUGGUCAAUGGGCGAGAGCCUGAACCAGCCAAGUCGCGUGAAGGAUGACGGCCCUACGGGUUGUAAACUUCUUUUGUCAGGGAGCAAUUGAGUCCACGUGUGGGCUUAGCGAGAGUACCUGAAGAAAAAGCAUCGGCUAACUCCGUGCCAGCAGCCGCGGUAAUACAUAGGGGGCAAGCGUUAUCCGGAAUUAUUGGGUGGAAAGGGUGCGUAGACGG
This 246-nucleotide ribosomal RNA is filed under the name uncultured bacterium. RNAcentral's name for it is "partial 16S ribosomal RNA". It matches the Rfam family "Bacterial small subunit ribosomal RNA", at positions 335 to 578 of the family's 1533-position model. The record is from RNAcentral.